AAGUCCUGGCCAAGCGCCUCCCUACUCAGGCCACCGAGCAUGUCCCCCCAGCUGAUCCCCUGCCCCACAGGAGCUGCUGUGAACUUGACCCUCGUCACCCCCGAGAAGGCCAUCAAGCUGGCAGCCAACGACUUCUUCCGACAUCAGCUCUCUAAGGACGGGCAGAAGCUGACCCUGCUUAAAGAGAUGCUGGCGGGCUGUGGGGCUGGCACCUGCCAGGUGAUUGUGACCACACCCAUGGAGAUGCUGAAGAUCCAGCUGCAGGAUGCAGGGCGCAUUGCCGCCCAGAGGAAGAUCCUGGCUGCCCAGGGCCAGCUCUCGGCCCAGGGGGGUGCCCAGCCCUCAGUGGAGGCUCCAGCUGCCCCUCGGCCCACGGCCAUCCAGCUGACCCGCGACCUGCUGCGGAGCCGCGGCAUUGCCGGUCUCUACAAGGGACUCGGGGCCACGCUGCUCAGGGAUGUCCCCUUCUCUGUGGUGUACUUCCCGCUCUUUGCCAACCUGAACCAGCUGGGCCGCCCGGCGUCCGAGGAGAAGUCACCUUUCUACGUGUCC
RNAcentral lists this small RNA (552 nucleotides) under Pongo abelii (Sumatran orangutan). RNAcentral describes it as "retained intron". Lineage: Eukaryota; Metazoa; Chordata; Mammalia; Primates; Hominidae. The record is from RNAcentral.